UACGUAGGGUGCAAGCGUUGUCCGGAAUUAUUGGGCGUAAAGAGCUUGUAGGCGGUUUGUUGCGUCUGCUGUGAAAUUUCGGGGCUCAACCCCGAACUUGCAGUGGGUACGGGCAGACUAGAGUGUGGUAGGGGAGACUGGAAUUCCUGGUGUAGCGGUGAAAUGCGCAGAUAUCAGGAGGAACACCAAUGGCGAAGGCAGCACUCUGGGACGUGACUGACGCUGAGACGCGAAAGCGUGGGGAGCAAACAGG
RNAcentral lists this ribosomal RNA (253 nucleotides) under uncultured bacterium. RNAcentral describes it as "partial 16S ribosomal RNA". It matches the Rfam family "Bacterial small subunit ribosomal RNA", at positions 524 to 776 of the family's 1533-position model. The record is from RNAcentral.